This 73-nucleotide transfer RNA is filed under the name Marmota monax (woodchuck). It matches the Rfam family "tRNA". Rfam says of the family: Transfer RNA (tRNA) molecules are approximately 80 nucleotides in length. The record is from Rfam by way of RNAcentral. Lineage: Eukaryota; Metazoa; Chordata; Mammalia; Rodentia; Sciuridae.
UGAGAUGUAGCUCAAUUGGUGGAGUGUUUACCUUGCAUGGGCAAGGUCCUGGGUUUGAUCCCCAGCACCACAA